GCCAACUUGGAGACAGUGGGGGCGGUAAGACGGAGGGUGCAAGGGUUAAACGGAAUAGCUGGACGUAAAGGGGGCGUAGGCGGUUAUUUAAGUCUGCCGUGAAAUCCCCGGGAUCAACCGGGGAAUGGCGGUGGAUACUGGAUAGCUAGAGUGUGGCAGAGGAUGGUGGAAUUCCCGGUGUAGCGGUGAAAUGCGUAGAGAUCGGGAGGAACAUCAGUGGCGAAGGCGGCCAUCUGGGACAACACUGACGCUGAAGCACGAAAGCGUGGGGAGCAAACAGGAUUAGAUACCCCGGUAGUC
Molecule: ribosomal RNA, 300 nt
Filed under: uncultured Desulfurococcus sp.
Lineage: Archaea; Thermoproteati; Thermoproteota; Thermoprotei; Desulfurococcales; Desulfurococcaceae
Description: bacterial SSU rRNA
Rfam family: Bacterial small subunit ribosomal RNA
Source: RNAcentral